UAGUUUUUAAAUGACCUUUUAUUCUGAAGGAAUCUGCAGUUGUAAAAAAACAUAAAUAAAAAUAAAUAAACAAAACAGAAACGGUAUGCUCUUGUAGUGUGCAAAUGAAUCCCGAUAUUAUUAAAUCACUGACUUCUGUUUGCUCUGCCAUUCAUGUGAAAUAAUAUUAUAUGAUUUAUGAAGUGCACGACCAAUAAAGCAAAGUCAAUCAAGCUUCUUUACACAAUGUAUUAAACAUUUUAUAAUCAUUUCUGUACAUUGCAAUAAACAAAUGACACUUGAUUUUAUAAAACUGUCUAUGUAUCACAGUGCUUCUCUAUGGGAAUGAAAUAAACAAACUCAUUAAAUUCAAAUAUCAGUAAAAAGGCCUAUAAAAUCUGCUUCCGGGCCUCAUUUUGAUUAUUUUUCCAGUGUCUUGAGAUGAACUGAUGCUCAGUAAUCGUGAUAGUUUCCCUGUUCUUGGCUUAAUUGUUCAGCAGGAUCACAGUGAAAAACCUCUCUUUAAAGUUUGCAUGGAUGUUUCGACCCGAAACCUUGAGGACAAGUACGUUGCCAAAGUGUGACAAACUUUAAGAUAGAAAGUCUCUCCAAGGUUCACGUCUGUAGCAGAUAACAGCAGCGUCUGAUGAGGCACUCAGACUCAGUUUUCAGAUGCUUUCAAUCUCUCCUCCUGGAUCUUUUUGCCGCAGUUCAUGGCCAGAGUUGCAACGGCAUACGAGGACAGAAUCACAAUGGUGCUCCCGACGAAAUGAGAGGAGGCUCCUCUGGGCAUCACACGGAGCGGCCUGCGGGGGUAAACCGCGUCUGAGACCCUCACGCUCACCGUUUGGCUGAUGGGCUCCAUGUCUGCUCAGGUAGAGACAGACGUCUUUGAGAACAGCUGGUGGAGGUGAUCAACACAAGGCCUCUUUAUAGGGCCAUGACUGACUCUCAAGACACGUCAGAUCCUGAACGGGAAGCAACAGAUUACGUCAACAGGAUGAGAAACAGAUACUCAUGUGCGCGGUCAGGUAGACGCGAGGAUCUUAAUGCUUUAAGCUCAUUAGUUACGGGAAAAGAGGCACGUACUGUAGGCAAACAGCUCUGACAUCAGAAGUGUGAAACUAUUUACUCUUAUAGUUGUUUAUAACUCAUGUGAGGUCAAGCCGAAGGGCAAGGAAAGCAAAUAGAACUCGCAACCGCAAGGUCAUGGGUUCGAUUCCCAAGAAAAUGCAUAAUGCCAAAUGCAUAAGUUUAAAUAAUAUAUUCAUAUUUUCUUCAGAUGAUUAUUUUAUGGGAUACAGUUUAGUUUUUAUGGUACAUUAUAGAGUGAAAAUAAACAAAUAAAUUAUGAGAAACUCACCGUCCGGCAGGUUUUAUUAAAUUAU
Long non-coding RNA from Cyprinus carpio carpio, 1367 nucleotides. NCBI's taxonomy places the organism in Eukaryota, Metazoa, Chordata, Actinopteri, Cypriniformes, Cyprinidae. The record is from Ensembl.